UGGCGAUGAUGGUGAUGGUGAUGGUGAUGGUCAUGAUGAUGAUCACCAUCAUGAUUAUUGUCAUUAUGACCAUGGCAGCACCGGCCUGUAGA
This 92-nucleotide unclassified non-coding RNA is filed under the name Desulfitobacterium chlororespirans DSM 11544. Its description in RNAcentral is "microRNA mir-598". The record is from RNAcentral. Lineage: Bacteria; Bacillati; Bacillota; Clostridia; Eubacteriales; Desulfitobacteriaceae.